Long non-coding RNA from Cyprinus carpio carpio, 459 nucleotides. Lineage: Eukaryota; Metazoa; Chordata; Actinopteri; Cypriniformes; Cyprinidae. The record is from Ensembl.
GUGGUGCCCGAUCCCGAGGCCGUUCCCGAGGCGGUGCCCGAUGCCGUUCCUGAGACCGUUCCCGAGGCGGUGCCCGAUGCCGAGGUCGUUCCCGAGGCGGUGUCCUUGUCCGAUGCCGUUCCUGAGGCCAUUCCCGAGGCGGUGCCCGAUGCUGUUCCGGAGGCCGAUGCGGGGCCCGAGAUGGUUCCGGAGGCGAUACCCGUGUCCAAGGCCGUUCCCGAGGCGGUGCCCUUGUCUGAGGCCGUUCCCGAUGCCGUUCCCAAUGCCGUGACCUGGCCAUCGCCACAGCCUGCUCCUUACUGGCUCCCCGAUUGGCAGGUUCCGUUCGGGCCACUCAAAUGGCGAAUUCCUCCCUGGCCGUCUGCACAACGAGAAUGGACUGAUCCACCGUGGCCACCUGAACUGCCUGGUCCCUCGUGGUCCCCUGAACUUUCGGGUCCACCGUGGCCACCUGAACUG